Molecule: ribosomal RNA, 119 nt
Filed under: Helianthus annuus (common sunflower)
Lineage: Eukaryota; Viridiplantae; Streptophyta; Magnoliopsida; Asterales; Asteraceae
Source: RNAcentral
GGUUGCGAUCAUACCAGCACUAAUGCACCGGAUCCCAUCAGAACUCCGCAGUUAAGCGUGCUUGGGCGAGAGUAGUACUAAGAUGGGUGACCCCCUGGGAAGUCCUCAUGUUGCAACCC